UAGCAGGUUCCUGUCCCCUGAGGUC
RNAcentral lists this non-coding RNA (25 nucleotides) under Rattus norvegicus (Norway rat). The record is from RNAcentral. Lineage: Eukaryota; Metazoa; Chordata; Mammalia; Rodentia; Muridae.